GAAGAGCCGAAAUCCUGCGGGAGCUCAUAUGACCUCUACUUCAUGUUGGACAUGUCGGGCAGUGUGAACAACAAUUGGAUGGACGUUUACAACUUUGUUGAUGAAGUGGUCAAGAAGUUCGAAAACCCGAAACUGCGGAUGUCCUUCAUCACGUACUCCACACAGGGCCACACCCUCAUGAAGCUCACCUCAGACAG
This is a non-coding RNA of Ceratotherium simum simum (southern white rhinoceros), 197 nucleotides long. The record is from RefSeq and is a predicted model, not a curated record. NCBI's taxonomy places the organism in Eukaryota, Metazoa, Chordata, Mammalia, Perissodactyla, Rhinocerotidae.